RNA transcript from Myotis daubentonii (Daubenton's bat), 5716 nucleotides. It is a transcript of the gene named tigger transposable element-derived protein 1-like, with no coding region annotated. The record is from RefSeq and is a predicted model, not a curated record. The transcript is spliced from 2 exons. NCBI's taxonomy places the organism in Eukaryota, Metazoa, Chordata, Mammalia, Chiroptera, Vespertilionidae.
GUUCACGGAAAAAUGUCUCAGGUGUUGAACAAAACUUCAGUUCUCGACUCAACAGCCCUUUCAUGCUGAUCCCUGUAUGAUCAGUCAUGCAUCUCUCAGGUGACAAAGGAGAGAAUGAGCAAGUAUGAGUCAGUUUACUGCUAAACCUCAUGCUGUUAACAUCUCGGGAAAUUGUGCUCUGAAUGUUUUUGUGUUUUGCCUUUUUGCUGCUUAUUAUUAAAUACGUAAGUAAGUCAUCAUGGGUCCUAAGAAAGUUAGUGAUACCAAAGUGAAAAGGAAAGUUGUGAGAACAACGAUAGAGCUUAAAAAAGAAAUAAUUGCAAAUUAUGAUAAAGGUGUUCGUGUGUCUGAUCUGGCUACCAAGUAUGGCAUGGCAAAAUCGACAAUUAGCACAAUUUUAAAACAUAAAGAGGCCAUCAAGAAAGCUGAUGUUGCUAAGGGUGUAACAGUGCUCACAAAACAACGAUCACAGGCCAUUGAAGAGGUAGAAAAAUUGUUGUUGAUUUGGGUAAAUGAAAAACAGUUAGCCGGUGAUAGCAUUUCAGAGGCAAUGAUAUGUGAAAAAGCAAAGAUGCUGCAUACUGACCUCCUGAGAGACAGCCCUGAAAUGAGUGCUCAGAACGGUUCGUUUAAGGCUAGUAGGGGGUGGUUCGAUAAAUUUAAGAAAAGAAGUGGUAUUCACGUAGUGAGGCAUGGCGAGUCUGACAGUACUAACAAAGUAGCUGCUGAUAAUUUUGUGACAGAAUUUCAAGAAUUCAUCGAGGCUGAGGGAUUUGUUCCCCAACAAGUGUUCAAUUGUGAUGAGACAGGGCUCUUCUGGAAGAAAAUGCCAAAGAGGACCUACAUCACACAGGAGGAGAAGUCAUUGCCAGGACACAAGCCAGUGAAGGACCGGCUGACGUUACUAUUGUGCGGCAAUGCGAGUGGGGACUUCAAAUUGAAGCCUCUUCUCGUCUACCAUUCUGAAAACGUACGAGUUUUGGGGAAAAAUAAUGUCAUGAAAAACAAGUGGAAUGUGAUGUGGAGGGCUAACCGCAAAGCUUGGGUGACCAGGCAGUUUUUUAUUGAGUGGAUUCAUGAAGUGUUUGCCCCAAGUGUGAAGAAAUACCUCUGGGAAAAACAGUUGCCACUCAGGGCACUUCUUGUCAUGGACAAGGCUCCUGCCCACCCUCCAGGCUUGGAGGCCGAGCUGAUGGAGGAGCACAGCUUCAUCACUGUGAGGUUCUUGCCGCCUAACAUAACUCCGCUCAUCCAGCCCAUGGACCAGCAGGUCAUUUCUAACUUUAAGAAACUCUACACCAAAGCACUGUUCCAGAGGUGCUUUGAGGUGACCUCUGAAACUAAUUUAACCCUCCGGGAGUUCUGGAAGGAACAUUUUAAUAUCCUCACCUGCUUGAGGCUCAUAGAUGAAGCAUGGGGGGGAGUGUGUUCCAGGACCCUGCAGUCGGCCUGGAAGAAACUGUGGCCCGAGUCUGUUGCUGACAGAGCCUGUGAGGGCUGUGAGGACAAGCCUGUGUCUGUUGUGGAGGACAUCGUGUCUCUGGGCAAGUGCAUGGGCUUGGAGGUGGAUGAUGAUGAUGUGGAGGAGUUGGUGGAGGACCACAACACUGAGCUGACCACUGAGGAGCUCCAAGACCUUCAGAGGGAGCAGCAACAGCCGGCAGCUGAGGAGCCCUCUUCAGAGGGGGGAAGGGAGGAUAUUCCUACUUCACUUAUCAAGGGAAUGCUUGGGAAAUGGGGAGAAAUGCAAAGUUUCAUUGAGAAAUAUCACCCUGACAAAGAAGUAGCACACCGAGCAAUAAACUUGUUCAAUGACAAUGCAGUGUUUCACUUCAGGCAAAUGUUAAAACGCAGGCAAAAACAAUCAUUGGGUAGGUUUUUAGUGAGACAGAGGCCCAGUGAACCUGAAGCAAGUUCUAGUGGAGCAAAGAGACGAAAGAGAAAGAACCCCAGAAGAAUCGCUCCCUGAUGUGUUUACGGAAGGGAACUCCUCUUCCAAACAAGAACACCCUCCUCCAUAUUCAGCCACCAGUAGCUCUCAGCAUUCAAGAACUGCCAUAACAAAAUACCAUGAACCGGGUGGCUUAAACAACAGAAAGUUAUUGUGUCACAGUUCUGGAGGCUAGAAGUCCAUGAUCAAGGUGUCAGUGGGGUGGGUUCUUUCUGAGGGCCAUGAAUAAAGGGUCUGUCCCAGGUCACUCUCCUUGGCUCAUAGGUGACCAUGUUAUCCCUAAAUCUUCACAUUAUCAUCCCUCUGUAUCUGUGUGUGUUCAAAUUUCUCCUUUUUAUAAGCACGCCAGUCCUUUUAGGUUAGGGCUCACCCUAAUGAGCUCAUUUUAACUUGCUUACCUUUAUAAAGAACCCAUCUCCAAAAGAGUUCACAUUCUGAGGUAUUGAGGGUUAGUGCUUCCAUGUGGAUUUGGGUUGGGGGUGGGAAGGACACAAUUGAACUGUAACAAGCAUGGGAGGGUUCAGAGCCAUCUUAGUCGUUCUUAGGGACACAGAGGUUGACUCCAGGUUCACCCUACCAGUGGGCUGCCGCCUCAGUUGUCUGCCUGGGUCCCGAGCUGAGUGCCCAGGGUGAAGGAGGUUUUUUUAAGACAGUUCUCAUCAGGCCAUAAGGGACAGGCUUCUGCUUGCAGACUACCCCAUAGUGUCUGGCCUGGAUGAGGGCUCUGCAUCUCAGCCACUCAGCAGAGCAGCCCCACCUUGCUCUUCAGUGAGUCAGCAUAGCAGCUGUUCUGAUGUUUCCUCCAGUCCCAGCAUGGCACCAAGCUAGGCCAGAACGGACUCUGGUUCUGGUGUGAGAAGAGGCUUUAAUAAUGGCUUCAGUUUAGGAUUGCUUUUGCUUUGUCUUCUGAAACAGCAAAUAAACCUUGCAAAGGCUAUACCUGAGAUAAAGAAGGGAGCCCCAGCCUCAGUGGUAAGACGGCCACAAGGUCAGAGGGACUCAGACUGUGGGCAACCUCACUGCCUGUACUAAGAUUAAAGGUGUCAUCACCCAAAAACAGCUCAGACCCAUACAAGGGCAUCAUCUGUCACCCUGCCGGUCGGGCCCCCUUAGUCCACUGCGCAAGCUCCAUGCCUUAACUUUGUUAAAGACUCCUCUACCCCAGGCAAUGAUGCCUGGAAUUUCUCUCCUUAUAGGGCAUUUGGGGGAGUGCUAGCCAGUGGUCUACCGCAGACAAGUCCACUCCAUGGCUUUCCCCAGGGAUAUAAACAACUCUCUGUCAUUCAUAAUAACAGGGCAAUCAAUGUGCAUUCGCUUACUGGACGGCCAUUUUCCUAACACAGUGUCUUUAAACACCACAGCAAGCCCUACCACUGCUGCUCAUGGGGCACCAGGAACUCAUCUUGGCUGGUCUGUUACAGGAAUACAUUUAAUUUUGAGAGAGUCUUGAAGAUGUGAUUGAACUAUCCAGAGCCUGAUGACCCUCAGAUACCUGAUGCCUUGCAGGGCUGAAAGCUCAGACAGCAGCCAGUGACCCCAUCAAGGUUCAGGCAUAUGCUUUGUAAAGACCUGCAUUUCUUUUAUUUUUACAGUUUUGCCAAUUUUAUUAAACCAAUAAAAUUCCUACUAAUGACAAUGAAAUAAAUUUUUGCAAGUAAAAUGUUUAACAAAACCUAUUCUGUACCUAUAGAUUUCCAAAAUGUCAUAAAAAGUGCAGCUAUGAAUUGUUAACAUGUACACAGUUCCUUUAUUUCAAAUGUGUUUGUCUUGACUCACUAACAGUUCCUUCUGCAUCUGUUCAAAUAACAUUGCCCACCCCUCCAUAAAAAAAGGCAUUAAAGCACUAGAAUAUUACACAUACACUGAUCCAUUCCGGUCAGCUUUAGUCAGAGUUGUAAAAUCAGCAGCAUAAGAAAAAUAAAACCUAGUUGUACAUACAAAAAGCUUGCAUGGGUUCUAUAAUCUCCUUACUGACUCAUGUGGAGGCCAUAACAGUGGAGAAGGCUCAUAUGGGUAACUACCUCAGACUACAGCUACAGCAGAGUCUGGUUCGCCAGAACAAGUUUAAAGUGGCUGUUUAUCAAGUUUGCUAUUUUUGGAAUUGAAACUAUAAAUAUAAGUGCCAUUUGACAAUGCAAAUUGUGUAAAUCCUAAACUGCAUCAAUGAUCUAUUUGAUAAAAGCUUAUUCUAAUGGAAAACCCUAUAUAGUAAGAGAGUGAUAUAUAUGUAUAGCAGUCUUAAGAUCAUCUGCCUCAACAUUAGUGCAAAGUCACGUGCUUCGUAAAAAAACACACCACACAUUACAGUAACAAAGCAAAGAACUACAAAGGCAAAACAUCACAGCUUCUGAUUACAUUGAAUAAAAAGGACCAAGGAACACAAAAGAUAAUUCUGUAUUAAUACUGAUGAAUUAAAGAACUAUAGUAGACACUUAACAGCAUGCUAUAUAUAUUGCUCAGCACUUAAGGAUAAAAUGAAGUCUAAAUUUGAAAGUCAAGAAGUUGGCAAUCUGAUCUCAUGUGCAAUCCAGCUACAAAGUCUUAAUAUAUACAUUCAUCAUCUAGCUACCCUGCAAAAUCAGGACUUAAAAAUUAAGAUUUCAAGUUCAAAUCCUAUUUCAUAAGCUAAAGGAUACAUCCAGUUCUUAAAUGACCAGAGGACGUAUUUCCAGGUUGGAAGGAGCUAAUCCAAGUAGCAAGGCCAUGUUCCACGUCGACCUGACAGGGUCCUUUCUGACCUUGCUCAGACUGUGCCUGUGAUGUCACUCUUCUAGUAGCACAAAGAUGCAACACUGGCUGUGGUUGCUUUUUCUGUCUGUCCUAUCUUAGGUUGGAAAGAGUAAAUGUGAAGGGAAAGAGGAAGGGAAAAAUUGUAAUUUCUUUCCAGGAAGAUACGUGAAUGCAAAGGAAAUAACUGCCUUAGAGUUCCUAUAACUUCCCUUGAGGCACAAGGGUACCAUUUACCUCUUACAUUUUAUUUUAUUUUUUUAAUAUUUUUUAAUUGAUUUCAGGGAGGAAGGAAUAGAGAGAGAUAGAAACAUCAAUGAUGAGAGAGCAUCAUUGAUCGGCUGCCUCCUACAUGCCCCUUACUGGGGAUUGAACCCGCAACCCAGGCGUGUGCCUUUGGCCAGAAUCAAACCCAGGAUCCAUCAGUCAGCAGGCCGAUGCUCUAUCCACUGAGCCAAACUGGCCAGGGCACAUUUUAUUUUAGAGAAGCAGCAAAAUUCAGACAGUAGAAAACAACCUCCAUGUUACAAAGGAAGGCACUUGCUACCCAGUUGAUGUGUUUCCUUUAGCCUACAUUUUGAUUCUUCGUUACAAGAUUUAGAAGCCAGUUGGAAAUUUGUGCAGACUGAUUAAGAAAGAUGUACAAUCCAUUUCAUUCAGUGUCAUGAUGCAUACAUCUAGUUAGCCAGGGCUCGUACAUUUGCUUCUAAGAGGUUAAAUUGAGGGGUAGAAGAAAAGAGACUGUUUUUGCAAAUUUAUAUACCAAAAAUCAUAUUUGUUACAUUUAAACUUACUAAUGUUUGGUACUAUCCUAUGAGCUAUAAAACGGGGUGUUUGUUCUAAAUGCUAUUUUAUAGUAUGCAUUUCAUUAUUCCAAAAUUUCCACAAGCACUGCAAAGAAUCAUAUUCUUUCUUCCCCCUACCUCUUAUCUCCUUUUUUAAUUCUGUACUUCAUGGCGGUGCAGCCAUGAUGAAUGUAAAGCUAGAACAAAUACUUCAUGACUUGUGAUUUAAUAAAAACCAUUGCUUCAGUCUCCA